This 484-nucleotide ribosomal RNA is filed under the name uncultured bacterium. RNAcentral describes it as "partial 16S ribosomal RNA". It matches the Rfam family "Bacterial small subunit ribosomal RNA", at positions 30 to 507 of the family's 1533-position model. The record is from RNAcentral.
AUUGAACGCUGGCGGCAGGCCUAACACAUGCAAGUCGAGCGGAUGAAGGGAGCUUGCUCCUGGAUUCAGCGGCGGACGGGUGAGUAAUGCCUAGGAAUCUGCCUGGUAGUGGGGGAUAACGUCCGGAAACGGGCGCUAAUACCGCAUACGUCCUGAGGGAGGAAGUGGGGGAUCUUCGGACCUCACGCUAUCAGAUGAGCCUAGGUCGGAUUAGCUAGUUGGUGGGGUAAGGGCCUACCAAGGCGACGAUCCGUAACUGGUCUGAGAGGAUGAUCAGUCACACUGGAACUGAGACACGGUCCAGACUCCUACGGGAGGCAGCAGUGGGGAAUAUUGGACAAUGGGCGAAAGCCUGAUCCAGCCAUGCCGCGUGUGUGAAGAAGGUCUUCGGAUUGUAAAGCACUUUAAGUUGGGAGGAAGGGCAGUAAGUUAAUACCUUGCUGUUUUGACGUUACCAACAGAAUAAGCACCGGCUAACUUCGUG